Long non-coding RNA from Cynocephalus volans (Philippine flying lemur), 355 nucleotides. RefSeq lists it as uncharacterized. Lineage: Eukaryota; Metazoa; Chordata; Mammalia; Dermoptera; Cynocephalidae. The record is from RefSeq and is a predicted model, not a curated record. The transcript has 3 exons.
CUGGGCACCUUGGAGAACAGAGAGCUGAGGAACCAGGUCUCUGCCCUCCCAGAGCGCCGGCUGAGCUGGUUCCAGGGGGCAGUGGGACAGGUCCCUGACAGCCAGCAGCUGCCCUUGGACGUGUCUGGGAUGGGAAGAGGCAACCCUAACCCUCAGAGAGAAGCUGUCCCCAGUCUGGAAAUGAGCGAAGCAGACAGCAGUCACCGAUAGGUCAGAUCCUGUCUUCAAAUACAGUCACAUUCUGAGGUACUGGGGGUAGGACUUCAACAUAAGAAUUUGGGAAGACACAAUUCAGCCCAUGACACUUGGUGAUUUUUUAAACCUAUGAUGUAAGUGCAAACGGUGUGCUGGCUUU